UGGCUGAGUCGAAGGUUGUGC
RNAcentral lists this microRNA (21 nucleotides) under Physcomitrium patens. Its description in RNAcentral is "ppt-miR319d-5p.2". Its record names the gene ppt-miR319d-5p.2. The record is from miRBase by way of RNAcentral. Lineage: Eukaryota; Viridiplantae; Streptophyta; Bryopsida; Funariales; Funariaceae.